RNAcentral lists this ribosomal RNA (253 nucleotides) under uncultured bacterium. Its description in RNAcentral is "partial 16S ribosomal RNA". It matches the Rfam family "Bacterial small subunit ribosomal RNA", at positions 524 to 776 of the family's 1533-position model. The record is from RNAcentral.
UACGUAGGGGGCGAGCGUUGUCCGGAAUCAUUGGGCGUAAAGCGCGUGUAGGCGGCCCGGUAAGUCCGCUGUGAAAGCCCAGGGCUCAACCCUGGGAUGCCGGUGGAUACUGUCGGGCUCGAGUCCGGAAGAGGCGAGUGGAAUUCCUGGUGUAGCGGUGAAAUGCGCAGAUAUCAGGAGGAACACCAAUGGCGAAGGCAGCUCGCUGGGACGUGACUGACGCUGAGACGCGAAAGCGUGGGGAGCAAACAGG